RNAcentral lists this ribosomal RNA (393 nucleotides) under uncultured bacterium. RNAcentral describes it as "partial 16S ribosomal RNA". It matches the Rfam family "Bacterial small subunit ribosomal RNA", at positions 523 to 918 of the family's 1533-position model. The record is from RNAcentral.
AUACGGAAGGUCCGGGCGUUAUCCGGAUUUAUUGGGUUUAAAGGGAGCGCAGGCCGAAGGUUAAGCGUGACGUGAAAUGUAGCCGCUCAACGGCUGAACUGCGUCGCGAACUGGCUUUCUUGAGUGAGUUCGAUGUGGGCGGAAUUCGUGGUGUAGCGGUGAAAUGCUUAGAUAUCACGAAGAACUCCGAUUGCGAAGGCAGCCCACAAGGCCUUUACUGACGCUAAAGCUCGAAGGUGCGGGUAUCGAACAGGAUUAGAUACCCUGGUAGUCCGCACGGUAAACGAUGGAUGCCCGCUGUUUGCGAUAUACUGUGAGCGGCCAAGAGAAAUCGUUAAGCAUCCCACCUGGGGAGUACGCCGGCAACGGUGAAACUCAAAUGAAUUGACGGGG